This 59-nucleotide transfer RNA is filed under the name Arcticibacter tournemirensis. RNAcentral describes it as "Pedobacter tournemirensis tRNA-Val". It matches the Rfam family "tRNA", at positions 9 to 63 of the family's 71-position model. Rfam says of the family: Transfer RNA (tRNA) molecules are approximately 80 nucleotides in length. Lineage: Bacteria; Pseudomonadati; Bacteroidota; Sphingobacteriia; Sphingobacteriales; Sphingobacteriaceae. The record is from RNAcentral.
AGCUCAGCUGGUUCAGAGCAUCUGCCUUACAAGCAGAGGGUCACUGGUUCGAAUCCAGU